Carassius auratus (goldfish) is the source of this 943-nucleotide long non-coding RNA. RefSeq lists it as uncharacterized. Lineage: Eukaryota; Metazoa; Chordata; Actinopteri; Cypriniformes; Cyprinidae. The transcript is spliced from 2 exons. The record is from RefSeq and is a predicted model, not a curated record.
GUUGGAGACGUAUCCGGAAGUCGAGCGACAAAAGGCAGGAUGCUUUAUAACUGAGCAUUUCCUAAUAAUAUUAACUUAUUUAGAUCUAAUAAAUAAGCACGUGCUAGUUAUUUAAAUAAAAUAUGACGCUGCGUCAAAGAGCUUAAAUCUUGCAAUUUUGGAAGUGAAACUCUUUAGGCACAAUACCCUGAACACUAUUUAGGCUACUGAAAAGUUUCUUCAGUAACAGAGCUGUGGCGAUGGAGCAGCAGAAUGUAGUGGAGGCGGCUGGAGAGAGGGAGUCAGAUGCGGCAGAUGUGAUCGCGGAGCAGCCGUCCCUCUCUUUUCCAGAGGUGUUCCGCAUGAUUCAAGCAGGAGAGGAGGUUCCUGGACUCCAAAAGCUGGACAUCAAACCUUGUAAUGUACAGCCCACGGUUUCUCAAAUGCCCAGAAAGUCUAAACCAUGGGAAAAAUGAUUGCUUCCUAAUUCUAAAUUGUGGACUGAUUUACAACAUAUUUUGCUUUUAUUCAAGUCACAAAUUAAGUACUUUUUUUUUUUUCAAGUAAAUUAUUUUAAUACAUAGCAAAAGCGGGAUGCUGAAUGGAAAAUAAAGCAUGCCUAACUUUUUCUGAUUUUGCAUCAAAAGCUGCCUGAAGAUGGUGGUAUUUGCAGCUCAACAGCUUUGGCCAGUUAAGACAAACCCAAAGCCUCUCAUGACUGUCAAGUGGUUCAUCAUGGUCUCAUGUGCUUGUGAAAGGGAAAUACAAAAGGUUGACACACAUCCUGCUUCAGAGCUUAUUAGAGGAAGUGAACUUCACUCACAACUGGUCAACUAGCAGUCAAAUGUACAGAUCAGAAACUAGAUAACGCAUACCCGACUGCUGUAUUUUAUUUUUUUUAACUACAGAAUGAAUGGAUCAGAAUAGUUUGCUUAUGUUUUAAUAAAAGUUUAGUCACUGGCAA